Molecule: ribosomal RNA, 253 nt
Filed under: uncultured bacterium
Lineage: Bacteria
Description: partial 16S ribosomal RNA
Rfam family: Bacterial small subunit ribosomal RNA
Source: RNAcentral
UACGAAGGGGGCUAGCGUUGCUCGGAAUCACUGGGCGUAAAGGGUGCGUAGGCGGGUUUUUAAGUCAGGGGUGAAAUCCUGGAGCUCAACUCCAGAACUGCCUUUGAUACUGAAGAUCUCGAGUCCGGGAGAGGUGAGUGGAACUGCGAGUGUAGAGGUGAAAUUCGUAGAUAUUGGGAAGAACACCGGUGGCGAAGGCGGCCAACUGGACCACAACUGACGCUGAGGCACGAAAGCGUGGGGAGCAAACAGG